CCUACGGGAGGCAGCAGUAGGGAAUCUUCCACAAUGGGCGAAAGCCUGAUGGAGCAACGCCGCGUGGGUGAAGAAGGUCUUCGGAUCGUAAAACCCUGUUGUUAGAGAAGAAAGUGCGGGAGAGUAACUGUUCACGUUUCGACGGUAUCUAACCAGAAAGCCACGGCUAACUACGUGCCAGCAGCCGCGGUAAUACGUAGGUGGCAAGCGUUAUCCGGAUUUAUGGGGCGUAAAGGGAACGCAGGCGGUCUUUUAAGUCUGAUGUGAAAGCCUUCGGCUUAACCGGAGUAGUGCAUUGGAAACUGGUAGACUUGAGUGCAGAAGAGGAGAGUGGAACUCCAUGUGUAGCGGUGAAAUGCGUAGAUAUAUGGAAGAACACCAGUGGCGAAAGCGGCUCUCUGGUCUGUAACUGACGCUGAGGUUCGAAAGCGUGGGUAGCAAACAGGAUUAGAUACCCGGGUAGUC
This 465-nucleotide ribosomal RNA is filed under the name uncultured bacterium. RNAcentral's name for it is "partial 16S ribosomal RNA". It matches the Rfam family "Bacterial small subunit ribosomal RNA", at positions 338 to 795 of the family's 1533-position model. The record is from RNAcentral.